RNAcentral lists this ribosomal RNA (492 nucleotides) under uncultured bacterium. Its description in RNAcentral is "partial 16S ribosomal RNA". It matches the Rfam family "Bacterial small subunit ribosomal RNA", at positions 29 to 507 of the family's 1533-position model. The record is from RNAcentral.
AGUGAACGCUGGCGGUAGGCCUAACACAUGCAAGUCGAACGGCAGCACAGUAAGAGCUUGCUCUUACGGGUGGCGAGUGGCGGACGGGUGAGGAAUACAUCGUAAUCUACUUUUUCGUGGGGGAUAACGUAGGGAAACUUACGCUAAUACCGCAUACGACCUACGGGUGAAAGCAGGGGAUCUUCUGACCUUGCGCGAUUGAAUGAGCCGAUGUCGGAUUAGCUAGUUGGCGGGGUAAAGGCCCACCAAGGCGACGAUCCGUAGCUGGUCUGAGAGGAUGAUCAGCCACACGGGAACUGAGACACGGUCCCGACUCCUACGGGAGGCAGCAGUGGGGAAUAUUGGACGAUGGGCGAGAGCCUGAUCCAGCCAUACCGCGUGGGUGAAGAAGGCCUUCGGGUUGUAAAGCCCUUUUGUUGGGAAAGAAAAGCAGCAGGUUAAUACCCCGCUGUUCUGACGGUACCCAAAGAAUAAGCACCGGCUAACUUCGUG